This 266-nucleotide non-coding RNA is filed under the name Geobacillus sp. Its description in RNAcentral is "T-box sequence". It matches the Rfam family "T-box leader". From Rfam's summary of the family: Uncharged tRNA acts as the effector for transcription antitermination of genes in the T-box leader family. T-boxes are found upstream of many aminoacyl-tRNA synthetase genes and some amino acid biosynthetic genes usually in Gram-positive bacteria. Lineage: Bacteria; Bacillati; Bacillota; Bacilli; Caryophanales; Anoxybacillaceae. The record is from RNAcentral.
CGAAAAGCGUUGACGAGGAUAAGUAGUCAGCGGGGCCAACAUCCACAGAGAGCCGGGGAGCUGCGAACCGGUGAUGUUGCCGCUUGAUGAACUCACCUCUGAGCGCCAGCCUGAACGCCGGACGGCUAGUAGGGCUGGACGAGUGGAGACGCGCGCUUCACUCGUUACCAAAAUGAGCGGCCGGCUUCGGCUGGCCGCUCCUGAGGCGGCCGUCAUGGCCGUGAAGAAGGGUGGUACCGCGGAAAGGAAACCUUUUCGCCCCUUUG